This 480-nucleotide ribosomal RNA is filed under the name uncultured bacterium. RNAcentral describes it as "bacterial SSU rRNA". It matches the Rfam family "Bacterial small subunit ribosomal RNA", at positions 37 to 507 of the family's 1533-position model. The record is from RNAcentral.
UGGCGGCAGGCCUAACACAUGCAAGUCGAGCGGUAACAUUUCUAGCUUGCUAGAAGAUGACGAGCGGCGGACGGUGAGUAACGCGUAGAAAUCUACCUAGUAGUCGGGGGAUAGCCCAGAGAAAUUUGGAUUAAUACCGCAUACGCCCUACGGGGGAAANCCGGGGGAUCUUCGGACCUCGUGCUAUUAGAUGAGUCUGCGUCGGAUUAGCUUGUUGGUGAGGUAAUGGCUCACCAAGGCGACGAUCCGUAGCUGGUCUGAGAGGAUGACCAGCCACACUGGAACUGAGACACGGUCCAGACUCCUACGGGAGGCAGCAGUGGGGAAUAUUGCACAAUGGGCGCAAGCCUGAUGCAGCCAUGCCGCGUGUGUGAAGAAGGCCUUAGGGUUGUAAAGCACUUUCAGCAGUGAGGAAAGGGGUGUCGUUAAUAGCGCCAUCCUGUGACGUUAACUGCAGAAGAAGGACCGGCUAACUCCGUG